UCCCAUUGUACAAUCACCGAAGUUAAGCAUCGUUAAGCCUGGUCAGUAACUAGGUGAGUGACCGCUUGGGAAUACCAGGUGCUGUAAG
Acanthosepion pharaonis is the source of this 88-nucleotide non-coding RNA. The record is from the annotation of a GenBank genome assembly. NCBI's taxonomy places the organism in Eukaryota, Metazoa, Mollusca, Cephalopoda, Sepiida, Sepiidae.